AAGUCGACUGGAAUUCACCUUCGGGUGAUAGUACGGUGGCGGACGGGUGAGUAACGCGUAAAGAACUUGCCCUCUAGACUGGGACAACUGUUGGAAACGACAGCUAAUACCGGGUAUUAUGAGAUUCUCGCAUGGGAAACUUAUGAAAGGCUAUAUGCGCUAGAGGAGAGCUUUGCGUGCCAUUAGGUAGUUGGUAGGGUAAUGGCCUACCAAGCCGACGAUGGCUAGCCGGCCUGAGAGGGUGAUCGGCCACAAGGGGACUGAGACACGGCCCUUACUCCUACGGGAGGCAGCAGUGGGGAAUAUUGGACAAUGGACCAAAAGUCUGAUCCAGCAAUUCUGUGUGCACGAUGAAGGUUUUCGGAUCGUAAAGUGCUUUCAGGUGGGAAGAAAAAAAUGACGGUACCACCAGAAGAAGCGACGGCUAAAUACGUGCCAGCAGCCGCGGUAAUACGUAUGUCGCAAGCGUUAUCCGGAAUUAUUGGGCGUAAAGCGCGUCUAGGCGGCCUUUUAAGUCUGAUGUGAAAAUGCGGGGCUCAACUCCGUAUUGCGUUGGAAACUGGAAGGCUAGAGUAUCAGAGAGGUGGGCGGAACUACAAGUGUAGAGGUGAAAUUCGUAGAUAUUUGUAGGAAUGCCGAUUGGGAAGCCAGCUCACUGGAUGAAUACUGACGCUGAAGCGCGAAAGCGUGGGGAGCAAACGGGAUUAGAUACCCCGGUAGUCCACGCCGUAAACGAUGAUCACUAAGUGUGGGGGGUCGAACCUCCGUGCUCAAGCUAACGCGAUAAGUGAUCCGCCUGGGGAGUACGCACGCAAGUGUGAAACUCAAAGGAAUUGACGGGGACCCGCACAAGCGGUGGAGCAUGUGGUUUAAUUCGACGCAACGCGAGGAACCUUACCAGCCCUUGACAUCCUCAGAACUUAGCAGAGAUGCUUUGGUGCCACUU
Molecule: ribosomal RNA, 946 nt
Filed under: uncultured Propionigenium sp.
Lineage: Bacteria; Fusobacteriati; Fusobacteriota; Fusobacteriia; Fusobacteriales; Fusobacteriaceae
Description: bacterial SSU rRNA
Rfam family: Bacterial small subunit ribosomal RNA
Source: RNAcentral